Molecule: ribosomal RNA, 433 nt
Filed under: uncultured bacterium
Lineage: Bacteria
Description: partial 16S ribosomal RNA
Rfam family: Bacterial small subunit ribosomal RNA
Source: RNAcentral
AACGAACGCUGGCGGCAUGCCUAACACAUGCAAGUCGAACGAGACCUUCGGGUCUAGUGGCGCACGGGUGCGUAACGCGUGGGAACCUGCCCUUAGGUUCGGAAUAACUCCCCGAAAGGGGUGCUAAUACCGGAUAAUGUCUUCGGACCAAAGAUUUAUCGCCUUUGGAUGGGCCCGCGUUGGAUUAGCUAGUUGGUAGGGUAAAAGCCUACCAAGGCGACGAUCCAUAGCUGGUCUGAAAGGAUGAUCAGCCACACUGGGACUGAGACACGGCCCAGACUCCUACGGGAGGCAGCAGUGGGGAAUAUUGGACAAUGGGCGAAAGCCUGAUCCAGCAAUGCCGCGUGAGUGAUGAAGGCCUUAGGGUUGUAAAGCUCUUUUACCCGGGAUGAUAAUGACAGUACCGGGAGAAUAAGCGCCGGCUAACUCCGUG